UUUUAUGGAGAGUUUGAUCCUGGCUCAGGAUGAACGCUGGCGGCGUGCCUAAUACAUGCAAGUCGAGCGAACGGACGAGAAGCUUGCUUCUCUGAUGUUAGCGGCGGACGGGUGAGUAACACGUGGAUAACCUACCUAUAAGACUGGGAUAACUUCGGGAAACCGGAGCUAAU
Molecule: ribosomal RNA, 173 nt
Filed under: Staphylococcus aureus
Lineage: Bacteria; Bacillati; Bacillota; Bacilli; Caryophanales; Staphylococcaceae
Description: partial 16S ribosomal RNA
Rfam family: Bacterial small subunit ribosomal RNA
Source: RNAcentral